Molecule: ribosomal RNA, 491 nt
Filed under: uncultured bacterium
Lineage: Bacteria
Description: partial 16S ribosomal RNA
Rfam family: Bacterial small subunit ribosomal RNA
Source: RNAcentral
AGUGAACGCUGGCGGUAGGCCUAACACAUGCAAGUCGAACGGCAGCACAGUAAGAGCUUGCUCUUACGGGUGGCGAGUAGCGGACGGGUGAGGAAUACAUCGGAAUCUACUUUUUCGUGGGGGAUAACGUAGGGAAACUUACGCUAAUACCGCAUACGACCUACGGGUGAAAGCAGGGGAUCUUCGGACCUUGCGCGAUUGAAUGAGCCGAUGUCGGAUUAGCUAGUUGGCGGGGUAAAGGCCCACCAAGGCGACGAUCCGUAGCUGGUCUGAGAGGAUGAUCGGCCAAACUGGACCUAGGACACGGUCCGGCCUCUACGGGAGGCAGCAGUGGGGAAUAUUGGACAAUGGGCGCAAGCCUGAUCCAGCCAUACCGCGUGGGUGAAGAAGGCCUUCGGGUUGUAAAGCCCUUUUGUUGGGAAAGAAAAGCAGCAGGUUAAUACCCCGCUGUUCUGACGGUACCCAAAGAAUAAGCACCGGCUAACUUCGUG